GCUACUUCCUGUUGGAGUUCCGUUCCUCCAUCUACAAGUCCCAGGAUCCCUUGUUUGUAAUUGUAAGGUCAAACAAGCCAGGCCUCCACAUAUCCCGAAAUAAUCUGUGCUGUUGGAUAAAUUCCACUGAUCCCUAAAAUGGAAAAGGCCUGGACAAACCAAGGGGACUAGGGCAGUAAAUUCAGAGUACGCUGUGCUGAUACCAAUGAAUGAUGGGCAGACGCAGGCAACAAGUUUAUCUGAGGCUGGCAGGUAACAGGAAAGAGAGAUACAAAGUCAC
Hyla sarda is the source of this 280-nucleotide long non-coding RNA. RefSeq lists it as uncharacterized. The transcript has 3 exons. Lineage: Eukaryota; Metazoa; Chordata; Amphibia; Anura; Hylidae. The record is from RefSeq and is a predicted model, not a curated record.